GUCGGCUGCUCGGGAACCGCUGGCACGUUGGAGCCCUCGCCUUUGUGCCUCUCGGCGAGCGUGAUGUGCCACGGCUCUCGUCGGCCUGUC
Molecule: microRNA precursor, 90 nt
Filed under: Columba livia (rock pigeon)
Lineage: Eukaryota; Metazoa; Chordata; Aves; Columbiformes; Columbidae
Description: microRNA cli-mir-9641 precursor
Source: miRBase by way of RNAcentral